This is a long non-coding RNA of Ictalurus punctatus (channel catfish), 2057 nucleotides long. NCBI's taxonomy places the organism in Eukaryota, Metazoa, Chordata, Actinopteri, Siluriformes, Ictaluridae. The record is from Ensembl.
GGAAAAAAAGAGAGAGUGGUUCAUUUGUUAGCCUCUCACCCCUCUCCAAACUAAUCACGUGCCAAAUUGAUAAAAUUAUCACACUUUUCCUUUUUGAAUUCAGCAGACGUACCAUGAAAUAUCAUUAGCGCCUCCAUCUGCGUGCGCGUCAUUACCUAUCCGAGCGUAGGAGGUUCGCGCUACGCUCGCUAUCGUCAAAAUCAUUGUUUUACCAGACGAAGCUAUGACAAGUCACCGGUAAAUUUAAUCUAAUGAUAUGCAAAUUUGGGAAAAAAAGACAAUUAGGGCUGCUCAGACUGAUGUUGGCAUGCGUGUCAGAGCGCAGCUCCACCGUCCCCCGAUCUGCGGAUGCGUAUGAAUCAGAUUAGCGGAAUAAUGAGAGCGAGAGAGAGCUUUAGCCUCGAGUGGCAUUUUCAUCCAGGCCUGUUCCAGUGCAGGAGGAAUUUCUGUAAAGGCUUAAUAAUCAGCUCGUGAUUCGCGUUUAUCUCAGACGGAGAGUGUUUUCUGGUCUACGAACGGUCGUUCACGUCCUAAUAUGCGCGAUCGAGCAAACACAAUGGUGCUUCUGAUCUCCUACGAGCAUUCCUGUCACGUUUGAUAAAUAGCACGGGCCGAGAUGUAAAUAAGCUCAUAAGCUUCUACUGUGAUAUCUGCAUAACUGAUCUAUAAAGCUUCACCGCUCCGGUGUACUCCUGAACGCAGACAUGCAGCGACACAGAGCGACUUUGUGUGACUUUUCCUGAACAGUGCGAACACGUUUAACACGGCGCUAACCUCCCACCUAACUCUCACCGUUAAUGCACAGAGACUGCCCGUUUUUCAUGUUACUGUACGUUUCUCUUGGCAGGUCAGUCAGGGCCUCUACUUUCUUCAAACCAGAAGUCAUUUUCUCAUUUCUCAUAAUUAAGAGUUAAUUGGGAGUGCACCUGUGGUUGUAUUUAAAGUGCUUACCUUUACAGCCAGUGCCUUUUAACCCUUGAUACCAUGAGACAAUCUGCGGACCUCCGCAAGUCCAGUUCCUCCUGAGAGGCAGGUACCACGGGCAUCUGUACAAACUUUGGCCCUAAAGAACAAGCUUUAGUCAAGUUAAGUUAAGGCUCUGUGUUACUGAUUAGAAGGUCGGGAGUUCAAGCCCCAGCACUGCCACAGUCUGGGUUACUGAUCGGAAGGUCUGGGGUUCAAGCCCCAGCACUGCCACAGUCUGGGUUACUGAUCGGAAGGUCGGGGAUUCAAGCCCCAGCACUGCCACAGUCUGGGUUACUGAUCGGAAGCUCGGGGGUUCAAGCCCCAGCACUGCCACAGUCUGGGUUACUGAUCGGAAGCUCGGGGGUUCAAGCCCCGGCACUGCCACAGUCUGGGUUACUGAUCGGAAGGUCGGGCGUUCAAGCCCCAGCACUGCCACAGUCUGGGUUACUGAUCGGAAGCUCGGGGGUUCAAGCCCCGGCACUGCCACAGUCUGGGUUACUGAUCGGAAGAUCCAGCACUGCCAAGCUGCCACUGUUGUGCCCUUAACCCUCUCUGCUCCAGGGGCGCUGUAUCAUGGCUGACCCUGUGCACUGACCCCAACCUCCUGACAUGCUGGAGGAAAGAAUGACAUGUGAAGAAAAGAAUUUCACUUUGCACAUGCAUAGGUGAUCAGUAAAGACUUUUACCCUAUCCAGUAAAGACUCAUUUCCAUUAUCCUUAGUCCUAAAGGUUCGACUGAACCCCUAGACAACAAAGGAACUGGUGACGGAACUGGAGGCAUCAAGUACCCAAAUAUGUACAGCCACCUUUAAGAGAUUCUUACAUCGCUAUGUCCUGAGAGGCUGUACGGAAGAAGCCACUACUCCAAGACAGGCAUUUGCAUUAGAUCAGCAGCAUUUCCUCAGGUCAAAUAAAACAUAAUGGGCCAUAAUGAUCAAUUGUGAAGCAUGGGGGUGGCAGCAUCAUGUUAUGGGGAUGUUUUGCUCGGAAAGGGGCUGGUGCAUUUAUAUAAAGUAUAACCUCAAGACAUAAGACAGAAAGUUAAAACUUGGGUCUUCCAGCAGAACAGUGAUCCUAAGCAUACGUCCCAC